This is a non-coding RNA of Leptonychotes weddellii (Weddell seal), 983 nucleotides long. NCBI's taxonomy places the organism in Eukaryota, Metazoa, Chordata, Mammalia, Carnivora, Phocidae. The record is from RefSeq and is a predicted model, not a curated record.
GGCCUUGGAAAAGGCCGGCGGCAAAGAGUUCUUGGAAACAGUAAAGGAGCUUCGUAAAUCCCAAGGCCCUUUGGAAGUUGCUGAAGCCGCUGUCAGCCAAUCCAGCGGACUUGCCGCCAAAUUUGUCAUCCACUGUCACAUCCCUCAGUGGGGCUCCGACAAAUGUGAAGAACAGCUUGAAGAGACCAUCAAAAACUGCCUGUCGGCGGCAGAGGACAAGAAGCUCAAGUCCGUGGCGUUCCCACCGUUCCCCAGCGGCAGAAACUGCUUCCCCAAACAGACGGCCGCCCAGGUGACCCUCAAAGCCAUCUCGGCCCACUUUGACGACUCGAGCGCGUCCUCGCUGAAGAAUGUCUACUUCCUGCUCUUUGACAGUGAGAGCAUUGGCAUCUACGUGCAGGAGAUGGCCAAGCUCGACACCAAGUAGCCGCCCGCCUGGCCGGCCGCGCUGGCCCUCGGAGCAGGAUCCAAGUCACGGGAGUGGGGCUUUCUUUUUUAAAAGGAGAGAGGAAGGGUGACGGCAGGGGAGUGGAGGGCAGUUGGCAGGGCAGCGGGUCACGGGGGCCGCGGGAGCGGGGCCUGCCCACGGAAGGAGCCCUCUGCCUUUUCUAUUCUCAUUUAAAAGAGCCUCCGUCUGUAAUUAACCAGGUCUCCACAAGGGGUUUCUUUCCAUGUGUUUUCUUCCUGUUGUUUUAGAACUUUUUUAAAAGACAGACUUCGUUUUAGAUUUAUAGCAUUGACUUUUACACACACACAAAAAAAAUCCUUUCAAAAUUCUUAAAACCUUGUUUCUCCUUUUUGCAAGGGAAGAGGGCAUAAAAGUGACUUGGGCUUUUGUUGGCUGUGUUCGGUGGCGGCGAGAAGAAAAUGAGAAAGGCGUCUCACUGGUGCUUUCCUUUUCUGUUUUUAGUGCCCCCCCCCCAUGACAUCUGUAUCUACUCCUAAGAAGAUUUUGCUUCAGGCUUUUGUUUUGUUUUGUUUUU